Long non-coding RNA from Ornithodoros turicata, 678 nucleotides. RefSeq lists it as uncharacterized. Lineage: Eukaryota; Metazoa; Arthropoda; Arachnida; Ixodida; Argasidae. The record is from RefSeq and is a predicted model, not a curated record. The transcript has 3 exons.
CAACUCGAACACCAUCCGCAGCAUUUGCGAUAUCAGUGCCAUCCGUCAGGUCGUUCGUUCAGUAUCGGCACGUGGUGUCCGUGUCUUGCAGCGGUGCGGUAACAACAGAAGCUAAUGAACACAGUCUGGCUUCGUGGUCGUACUGGCAGCGCAGAGCAGCAAGUGAUAUUACGCUUCAUUCCCCCCUGUACGAAGGAGAAAUGCUUAGUACCGAACGCAUACUAGGGCCCAGAUGUGCAGAGCACUAUCACCUGAAUCCUCCAUCCUGUCAACAGGUAGCACCUUGUGUCCUGAGAACUCGUGUAUCUGCGGUGAUUGGUCAGGAGCACAUCGAUCUGUGUGAACGUCAAAAAACGACGUGCCAGCAGAGAACAGGGUGCAGUGGAUGCACACACACUGUUUUUCUCCACCACGGUGGACAGGAGACGCCGGACUACCCGACUCUGUGAGGGCCCUGAAGGCUUUUCAAGGCAUCAAGCUGAUGGUGUUUGGAAAUGGCUAGUUCCAUCCAUAAGCAAGUUUUACUUUGGUUGUAAAACUUCAUGGAGGUUUAUGGCCAAUGAAGCUCUUACAUGGCAUAGAAGACAUCACAGACCUCACGGAGGCCAUCCUAGCAUCAUUGUGUGAGGAUACCAAGUAAUAAUAAUAAAAUCACAGAUAUUUUGCUCCUGCGGGAGC